UACGAAGGGGGCUAGCGUUGUUCGGAUUUACUGGGCGUAAAGCGCACGUAGGCGGAUCGUUAAGUCGGGGGUGAAAUCCUGGAGCUCAACUCCAGAACUGCCUUCGAUACUGGCGAUCUUGAGUCCGGAAGAGGUGAGUGGAACUCCUAGUGUAGAGGUGGAAUUCGUAGAUAUUAGGAAGAACACCAGUGGCGAAGGCGGCUCACUGGUCCGGUACUGACGCUGAGGUGCGGAAAGCGUGGGGAGCAAAACAGGAUUGAGAA
Molecule: ribosomal RNA, 263 nt
Filed under: uncultured bacterium
Lineage: Bacteria
Description: partial 16S ribosomal RNA
Rfam family: Bacterial small subunit ribosomal RNA
Source: RNAcentral